Danio rerio (zebrafish) is the source of this 177-nucleotide non-coding RNA. The record is from Ensembl. Lineage: Eukaryota; Metazoa; Chordata; Actinopteri; Cypriniformes; Danionidae.
UAAACAUUAGAAGGAAAACAUCCGUUCAUGCGGCUCUAAAUAUACUGCCUUUAUCACACUAAGUUUGGUCAAACAGGAGGAAUUACUGCAGGAGAAUCAACUGACAUACUAUAGUAAUGAUGGAGACUGAGGAGGAAACCUGCAGAAUAAAAGAUGAAGAGACAGAAGAACGAAUAG